GCUCAACCGAGGAAGUGCUUCGAAAACUGGUAAACUUGAGUGCAGAAGAGGAAAGUGGAACUCCAUGUGUAGCGGUGGAAUGCGUAGAUAUAUGGAAGAACACCAGUGGCGAAGGCGGCUUUCUGGUCUGUAACUGACGCUGAGAUUCGAAAGCAUGGGUAGCAAACAGGAUUAGAUACCCUGGUAGUCCAUGCCGUAAACGAUGAGUGCUAAGUGUUGGAGGGUUUCCGCCCUUCAGUGCUGCAGCUAACGCAUUAAGCACUCCGCCUGGGGAGUACGAUCGCAAGAUUGAAACUCAAAGGAAUUGACGGGGGCCCGCACAAGCGGUGGAGCAUGUGGUUUAAUUCGAAGCAACGCGAAGAACCUUACCAGGUCUUGGCAUACCAUGAAAAGCUUAGAGAUAAGUCUUUCCCUUCGGGGACAUGGAUGCAGGUGGUGCAUGGUUGUCGUCAGCUCGUGUCGUGAGAUGUUGGGUUAAGUCCCGCAACGAGCGCAACCCUUAUUAUCAGUUGCCAGCAUUCAGUUGGGCACUCUGGUGAGACUGCCGGUGAUAAACCGGAGGAAGGUGGGGACGACGUCAAAUCAUCAUGCCCCUUAUGACCUGCGCUACACACGUGCUACAAUGGUCGGUACAACG
This 637-nucleotide ribosomal RNA is filed under the name uncultured bacterium. RNAcentral describes it as "bacterial SSU rRNA". It matches the Rfam family "Bacterial small subunit ribosomal RNA", at positions 607 to 1244 of the family's 1533-position model. The record is from RNAcentral.